GGGUUGUGAGGUUAAGCGACUAAGCGUACACGGUGGAUGCCCUGGCAGUCAGAGGCGAUGAAGGACGUGCUAAUCUGCGAUAAGCGUCGGUAAGGUGAUAUGAACCGUUAUAACCGGCGAUUUCCGAAUGGGGAAACCCAGUGUGUUUCGACACACUAUCAUUAACUGAAUCCAUAGGUUAAUGAGGCGAACCGGGGGAACUGAAACAUCUAAGUACCCCGAGGAAAAGAAAUCAACCGAGAUUCCCCCAGUAGCGGCGAGCGAACGGGGAGGAGCCCAGAGCCUGAAUCAGUGUGUGUGUUAGUGGAAGCGUCUGGAAAGGCGCGCGAUACAGGGUGACAGCCCCGUACACAAAAAUGCACAUGCUGUGAGCUCGAUGAGUAGGGCGGGACACGUGGUAUCCUGUCUGAAUAUGGGGGGACCAUCCUCCAAGGCUAAAUACUCCUGACUGACCGAUAGUGAACCAGUACCGUGAGGGAAAGGCGAAAAGAACCCCGGCGAGGGGAGUGAAAAAGAACCUGAAACCGUGUACGUACAAGCAGUGGGAGCACGCUUCGGCGUGUGACUGCGUACCUUUUGUAUAAUGGGUCAGCGACUUAUAUUCUGUAGCAAGGUUAACCGAAUAGGGGAGCCGAAGGGAAACCGAGUCUUAACUGGGCGUUAAGUUGCAGGGUAUAGACCCGAAACCCGGUGAUCUAGCCAUGGGCAGGUUGAAGGUUGGGUAACACUAACUGGAGGACCGAACCGACUAAUGUUGAAAAAUUAGCGGAUGACUUGUGGCUGGGGGUGAAAGGCCAAUCAAACCGGGAGAUAGCUGGUUCUCCCCGAAAGCUAUUUAGGUAGCGCCUCGUGAAUUCAUCUCCGGGGGUAGAGCACUGUUUCGGCAAGGGGGUCAUCCCGACUUACCAACCCGAUGCAAACUGCGAAUACCGGAGAAUGUUAUCACGGGAGACACACGGCGGGUGCUAACGUCCGUCGUGAAGAGGGAAACAACCCAGACCGCCAGCUAAGGUCCCAAAGUCAUGGUUAAGUGGGAAACGAUGUGGGAAGGCCCAGACAGCCAGGAUGUUGGCUUAGAAGCAGCCAUCAUUUAAAGAAAGCGUAAUAGCUCACUGGUCGAGUCGGCCUGCGCGGAAGAUGUAACGGGGCUAAACCAUGCACCGAAGCUGCGGCAGCGACGCUGAUGCGUUGUUGGGUAGGGGAGCGUUCUGUAAGCCUGCGAAGGUGUGCUGUGAGGCAUGCUGGAGGUAUCAGAAGUGCGAAUGCUGACAUAAGUAACGAUAAAGCGGGUGAAAAGCCCGCUCGCCGGAAGACCAAGGGUUCCUGUCCAACGUUAAUCGGGGCAGGGUGAGUCGACCCCUAAGGCGAGGCCGAAAGGCGUAGUCGAUGGGAAACAGGUUAAUAUUCCUGUACUUGGUGUUACUGCGAAGGGGGGACGGAGAAGGCUAUGUUGGCCGGGCGACGGUUGUCCCGGUUUAAGCGUGUAGGCUGGUUUUCCAGGCAAAUCCGGAAAAUCAAGGCUGAGGCGUGAUGACGAGGCACUACGGUGCUGAAGCAACAAAUGCCCUGCUUCCAGGAAAAGCCUCUAAGCAUCAGGUAACAUCAAAUCGUACCCCAAACCGACACAGGUGGUCAGGUAGAGAAUACCAAGGCGCUUGAGAGAACUCGGGUGAAGGAACUAGGCAAAAUGGUGCCGUAACUUCGGGAGAAGGCACGCUGAUAUGUAGGUGAAGUCCCUCGCGGAUGGAGCUGAAAUCAGUCGAAGAUACCAGCUGGCUGCAACUGUUUAUUAAAAACACAGCACUGUGCAAACACGAAAGUGGACGUAUACGGUGUGACGCCUGCCCGGUGCCGGAAGGUUAAUUGAUGGGGUUAGCCGCAAGGCGAAGCUCUUGAUCGAAGCCCCGGUAAACGGCGGCCGUAACUAUAACGGUCCUAAGGUAGCGAAAUUCCUUGUCGGGUAAGUUCCGACCUGCACGAAUGGCGUAAUGAUGGCCAGGCUGUCUCCACCCGAGACUCAGUGAAAUUGAACUCGCUGUGAAGAUGCAGUGUACCCGCGGCAAGACGGAAAGACCCCGUGAACCUUUACUAUAGCUUGACACUGAACAUUGAGCCUUGAUGUGUAGGAUAGGUGGGAGGCUUUGAAGUGUGGACGCCAGUCUGCAUGGAGCCGACCUUGAAAUACCACCCUUUAAUGUUUGAUGUUCUAACGUUGACCCGUAAUCCGGGUUGCGGACAGUGUCUGGUGGGUAGUUUGACUGGGGCGGUCUCCUCCUAAAGAGUAACGGAGGAGCACGAAGGUUGGCUAAUCCUGGUCGGACAUCAGGAGGUUAGUGCAAUGGCAUAAGCCAGCUUGACUGCGAGCGUGACGGCGCGAGCAGGUGCGAAAGCAGGUCAUAGUGAUCCGGUGGUUCUGAAUGGAAGGGCCAUCGCUCAACGGAUAAAAGGUACUCCGGGGAUAACAGGCUGAUACCGCCCAAGAGUUCAUAUCGACGGCGGUGUUUGGCACCUCGAUGUCGGCUCAUCACAUCCUGGGGCUGAAGUAGGUCCCAAGGGUAUGGCUGUUCGCCAUUUAAAGUGGUACGCGAGCUGGGUUUAGAACGUCGUGAGACAGUUCGGUCCCUAUCUGCCGUGGGCGCUGGAGAACUGAGGGGGGCUGCUCCUAGUACGAGAGGACCGGAGUGGACGCAUCACUGGUGUUCGGGUUGUCAUGCCAAUGGCACUGCCCGGUAGCUAAAUGCGGAAGAGAUAAGUGCUGAAAGCAUCUAAGCACGAAACUUGCCCCGAGAUGAGUUCUCCCUGACCCUUUAAGGGUCCUGAAGGAACGUUGAAGACGACGACGUUGAUAGGCCGGGUGUGUAAGCGCAGCGAUGCGUUGAGCUAACCGGUACUAAUGAACCGUGAGGCUUAACCUUACAACGCCGAAG
This 2927-nucleotide ribosomal RNA is filed under the name Escherichia coli. RNAcentral's name for it is "bacterial LSU rRNA". It matches the Rfam family "Bacterial large subunit ribosomal RNA". The record is from RNAcentral. Lineage: Bacteria; Pseudomonadati; Pseudomonadota; Gammaproteobacteria; Enterobacterales; Enterobacteriaceae.